This 474-nucleotide ribosomal RNA is filed under the name uncultured Desulfobulbus sp. Its description in RNAcentral is "bacterial SSU rRNA". It matches the Rfam family "Bacterial small subunit ribosomal RNA", at positions 916 to 1381 of the family's 1533-position model. The record is from RNAcentral. Lineage: Bacteria; Pseudomonadati; Thermodesulfobacteriota; Desulfobulbia; Desulfobulbales; Desulfobulbaceae.
GACGGGGCCCGGCACAAGCGGUGGAGUAUGUGGUUAAUUCGAUGCAACGCGAAGAACCUUACCUGGUCUUGACAUCCCGGAGACCCUUAGGAAACUAGGGGUGCUUCCAUCUGGAAGAAUCUGGAGACAGGUGCUGCAUGGCUGUCGUCAGCUCGUGUCGUGAGAUGUUGGGUUAAGUCCCGCAACGAGCGCAACCCUUGCCUUUAGUUGCCAGCAGUUCGGCUGGGCACUCUAAAGGGACUGCCGGUGUUAAACCGGAGGAAGGUGGGGAUGACGUCAAGUCCUCAUGGCCUUUAUGACCAGGGCUACACACGUACUACAAUGGCCGAUACAAAGGGCAGCGACACUGCGAGGUGAAGCCAAUCCCGUAAAAUCGGUCUCAGUCCGGAUUGGAGUCUGCAACUCGACUCCAUGAAGUUGGAAUCGCUAGUAAUCGUGGAUCAGCAUGCCACGGUGAAUACGUUCCCGGGCCUU